Molecule: non-coding RNA, 5522 nt
Organism: Anas platyrhynchos (mallard)
Lineage: Eukaryota; Metazoa; Chordata; Aves; Anseriformes; Anatidae
Source: RefSeq, a predicted model, not a curated record
GCAGGCUCCUUUCCAUGCCUGGGUGGUGUCCUGCUGUGAUACUAAACUUUGAAUGGGAGCUGCUGUAUCAAGAAAUUUCACAGUAAGACAGGGGCUGCCAGUCUGAGCCUGAACCAAAGCGGUUCCAAAGAUUUACUUUGGACAUGCUAUUGCUGACGGGGGAAAAGUGAUGGGUAGGCAGUGAGCUCACCGAGCUGCACCGGCUGCUCCUCCGCCACCAGGCUGACCGGUGCCAGCAUUGCACAACCCCUGGGGAGACAGGGUGAGAAGGGAAAUUGUUGCAGUGGGCACCUGAAUGCAAUCGAGCCUCUUCAGCAGUAGAAAUGGCUCUCGUUCCUGUGCCCUGACUCAGCCUCCCAAUGUUGCAAAAUCCCUGUUCGUAUCAUAUGCAGGUGGUGGGGUUUCCAAUUUAGAAGCUGCGUUGGAACAAGAACAGAAGAGGCACUCAGGGAUAUCGGCACAUGAGCCAGUCACCCAUGGCUCUCGGUAGUCAACAAGACGCCUCCAGAAGGAGGAUGGGCACUGAGAGCUCAAUGCAAGGAGUCAGAUGGAGCCACUUACCUCAGCCACCGGCCCCAGGAGAUGCCUGUCUGCAGCUGAGCUGCGGGGAAAGGAGGUGUCAUUCAGUAAUGACAGCAUUAACACCUAGGAAGAGAAAGCAGCCAAAAAGCAGAGUUACAUUAGGAUUAGUAUUGGCAGCAUUGCUAUGAAAGAAUGCCCAGAGGAGGGAGAGGGUUUUUGAGCCCUGGCUGCAAAGGGGCCAAGGACUGGCAGCAUUUUGAGCAUGACCAGCUCGGUGUUGCAGGGCAGGGACCUUUGCCCCAUCUCAGUAAAGACAGAGGGUCGCCGCUCAGUGGCACCCGUCCCCUUUGCUGAGGGCUCUGGGGAGCUUAUCCCACCCACAAGCGGUGAUGGGAUAAGCGAGCUGCAAGGCGUCUUCGGGCGAGAUGCCUCUGCUCUAACGGCACAUGCAGGCAGAUGCCGCUGUGCAAAGUGAACUUUAUUCCAUUUGCAAAAUGACACAAGCUCCACACGCUGCCACUCGGCUGGCUGCCGGCUGUGGCUGUUGGGUCAAGCUUUGUCGGAGGGAUCUGACUCACUUCUUGCAUCAGACUUGCAAGAAAAUGAGUCAGGGAUAAUCUCUAAUAUCCCAAUCAGCCUCCCUACAUCUCCUGCCUACGUUCAGCUCUAUUUAGGGGGCUCUUGGGGAGCUGAAUUCGAGGCUCAUUCAGUACAAAUGCCAGUGGGAAAUGAAAGUUAUCACUCAAGGAGGUCGCCAAAAGAAAAGGAGACUAAGAGAGAUGUACCAAGGAAGCAUGGAGGAGUUUGCACAGGGUUGUUGCUGCUCCUAGUUCCCUGGAAGGCAGAGGACUGCAUGGCAUUUAGAUGGGAGCACUGGUGCUCAGGAAAGCAUUGCAGGACAAAUCUCUGCUGGGAUUGCCAGACCUAUGACAGAUUCAGUGAGUCCAGCAAGGAAACAGGAUCUGUCCCUGAUGGAGGAGGAGGAAACUGGGAGCGUGAGAAUGAAGGGAAUAGCAGGAGCCUGGGGGCAAGCUGUGUGCGAAGCAGAGGGGAAGGACUGGGACUUGGAGUUGUACAGAGGGAGCCCCAGCCUGCACCCAUGGAGCAGGGAGGGCAGGGAACAGUGAAAGAGCCUCAUUACCCAAAUGAUGCCUUUCCCUCAUCUCUUAGGGAGGAAUCAGAGACUAGGACGAGAUUGAGGAACUGCCAAUCUGGAACAGAGUAGUGGUGCCUGCAGUCAAGUACCCAGCUUCCAGAAGAGGCAAAUUUGGAUGCUUUAGAGGAAAAUCUUCGAUAGCAUCCCAGUUCCAGGAAGAGUGCAAUACGUUGGGUGUUUACUCGUGUUGGGAUAGCUGCAGAACCAUAGCAGGGCAGACAGGCUAUUUAUAAGCGUAUCAGAUAUCAGCUAAGCUCUUUGCACUUUCUAUGGAGCAUAUAUCAAGAUUAACGAGAAGGAACAUGGGCUGAGGGCAGCAAAUGAGCAGAGGUUGGAGAAGAGGUGUCCUUUAAUACAAUGCAGAUGGGAAAGAACAGCAGCUGGCCCUGUGCCCAGUGCUACUUCUAAGACCUCUCAAAGCUGAGGAAGAUCACUUUAUUACCAACACUGUGAGAAAGAAGGGUUGAAAAUGCUGGGUUUGAUGGCUUUGCAUUAUUAAAUGGAGAAUUGUUUGCUCCUAAAUAUAUAUACAUAUAUAUAUAUGCACACACACAAAUCUAUUCAUAGAUAUUUCAUUAAGCUCUUCUAAGUACAUGCUGUGUGUAACAAAAUAAUAAGCCAGCUAAAGAGUUAACUCUCUAUAGAUCUCCAAACCUACUAGGAGGGAGCUAGAAUACAGAUUUAAGCAGACAGAAGAUGAUACUUGUUCCAAUUAAUGUUCCAGCUAGCAUCUGCUCUUUUUAAUUAGUUGAAGUCUGGUUUUGUCUGGAGACAGAAUUGCUGAGCAGAAGCGUGCUGGCUUCUUUUCUGCUUAGUUGGCUAUUCUGAUCUCUCUUGGUCUUUGGAAACUUUUUCUACACUUCACAGAGGCUAAAAACUAUUGUGCACUGAUAUUUGUGUGUGCCCACAGGCUCUCUAUAAGUUUCACUGCAACCAGCUUCCAUCUGGAGGGAAAACAGGCACAGGAAGAGUUUUUACAGGUGUCCUCCCCACCACACACACAUUUGUGCAUUGCUUCACUUAUCUGAGACUCAGUUUUCUUCUGCAAGCAAGAAUUCCUGUUGAGCAGAUGCAGGUGGAUGGAGAAGGGUUCCCUAGGACCUGUUAACCUUCCUGUUUUGCUCGAAGCUUGCUGAUCCUUCACCUCACCCUUUGUAACAUGACCUUUGAGGAUCUGCAUGUUUCAAUUACGCACAGAUGAAUAAUUUACAAGCCACGGCUGUUGGGAUAAACAAGCCCUUCUGCUCUGUCCAAGCACUAGACAGCUUGUCUUAAAUUUCCCUCACUUUGCUGAAACCUCCACGACUUCAGCAGCAUUCAAAAACUUUUAAAGGAGAAGCUGGUGAGGGAAAAGCAGGAUGGCAUAUCACAGCAGCAAACAGCACUCACAGCAAGUAUUCCUCUUAUCUCUGAGCAGGGCAUUGACCUGUUGUACAAACUCCAGGUAGGAAAGCCACUGGCAAAGCAACCUCAGAUAUAAUAUUUACCUAAGAGGAGACAUUUCAGUGGAAAACAAGCUACAGGAUCUGCUGACACCCUGGUGGAGAGAACAGCGGGCAUUCACGCAGGUGCAGUCAAUGGAAUAGGAACAGGAUGUGGAAACUUUCUAGCAUUUCCAAGUAACAAGGCUGUUGUUGCAUGAGGGGCAUGUUUGCGCUGUCUGUGAUUGCAGCUGAACAGCUACGAGAAGCUGUGGAUCUGGGGCUUGACCCGCCAGAGCCCCACCGUGCGGCAUCAGAGGAGUCACUUGGUUUCUCUGCCCCACUACUCCAUCCUUAAAGCAGGGAGGCAAACAGGCAGGUCCUGCAAGGAAACAGCCAGGCUGACACCACAUGUUUAGGAACUGUUUUGAUGGGUACCUGCUGACGCCUAGUCCUCUGGCAAGGGAAACAGAUCCCAUGAGCUGCCCUGGGGAUAUAAGCUGCAGUUUAGGGCCACAGAUAACAACUCCUGUCAAAGCUUCUCUGGAGAAGACGGACAGGACCAAAACAGCUCAGGAGCAAAGUGAAUAACUGGGUUGUUUUUUCUCUUUAAUCCUUUCCACAUGAGCAGAAAGGGUUUGGAGCCAUAAAGCAUGUGCUCUCUCUUGCAGCUCUCAGAAAUCAGCCCUUUACUUUACAGAUCCUUUUUGGUCAGAUCUGUAUGCCUCUACUGAAGGAAGGGAGCCUGCACCACCACCUGUUCUGCUAACAAAAAGCCACAGUUUCGCUAUCUCCCUAAGCAGAGACUGGCACUGACAGGGCCAAUCCCACCUUCCCCCCGCCUUUGAUCACGGUGAUCAAAAUAAAAGGAUUGUUUCCUCAGGCAGGGUAUUUUUCAGCUGGACAGUCACAGCAGCUGUACUUUUGCCAUGAAGCAAGGGCCAGGAAAACAGCUGGAACUGUGCCGUAAGAGCUUAAUGUAAAAUCAUGAAGUUGCAACCUCAGGUUCCUGGGUCAUUUGUCCCUGCAAAUAGCAAGAAUUUAUAGCCCUUGUUAUAGCCCUGGUUAGGAAAGUCUCCUUGGCUUCAGCUCCGUGGCUCUCUUUCCAAUGGGCCAAGCACAAACUCCUAGGCCCCAGACGUACUUAGUUUUGAGGGAAAUCUGGAACUACUUUUCAAUUUGGGAUUAGGUCUAAACAGGUAUUCGGAACUGGCCUUGAAAUCACAACUAUGUCAUGUAUUUAUCAUCCUUACCAACAGAAGGCUGUGGAGCCACUCAGGGGCCCAAGCUCAGCCUCCCAGAUCUCCUCCCCGCCACCUGGAGAGUCUGUGAAACAUCCAUUCUCCGAGGUUUUCAAAACAGCUGUGCAAAGCCUUCAGCAGCCUGAUGUGACUUUGAAGUUGGCCUUGCUUGGAGCAAGAGGUUCGGCCUGAGACCUCCAGUGGUCUCUCCCAAGUGGUAUUGUUCUGUGGUUCUGUCAUCUUCAGCUGCAUUUGCAUCAUGCUCUGCUAGGCCACUAUCAGCAGACAGAUCAGCAGGUGUCCCCACACUGACUAAUCCAGGCCAGAAGUCAGAGAGCCUGAAUCAACUGACGCUUCAGCGUUGGCUGCAUUAGUUCAGGAGACAGAGCAAAGCCCAGAGCUUAUCUGCAUGCGGUUGUCUAAGAAGAGUACCGCUGACAGUCAUUGCAAGGGAGGAUCCUUGCCACCAUGGCACAUGCUAGAAUAAGCUCUACAUUGCAAAAGAAGCUGGCCCAGGUCUCACAAGGUCCUAAAAUACAGACAGCAGGGUAUUUUCUCCUCUUCUCAGCAGGAAAGAGUCCACAAUCUCAGCAGAAAAAAGAGAGCGUGAAGUACAAAUCAUUGAGCACUUGCUACUUGCUGUCUAAGUCAUUACACAAGUACCCUCACAGCAAAAGGAUGGAUAACAGGGGCUGUCCUGUCAUUUCCACAUGUCUCUUUAUAGUAUUUAUCAGCUUUCAACCACCAGAUUGAAUCCAGAAUAAUUCUUGUUGCAAGAAUAUCACAAAUUCAUUUUGGAUGAGGCAGCCCUGGAAGACACUGGAUAUGAGAGAAUCAGUGGUAGGACUCAAAGACCUGAGUGAGUCCUGCUCCAUCAGCUUGUUUGCAAUGAUGAGAGCUGAGCUCACAGGUCUUCUUGAAGAGCACCCUCUGGGGACACUUCUCAGUGUCACUUCUUCAGCAGCCAGAGGAUGGGCCAGGUUUUUCUUGGUGCUCAUCAUGUCUGGAGACCUCACCUGUAUGGUAAAAGUGGGAAAUACAGAUCACUGCGCCAAAUCCCUGUCCAUGGCAAUACAAGGUUGCUGCCACCUCGUGGCUGGCUCUGACCAUCCAAAGGUCACCGGGCAUGUUGUUCCAGCUGGAAAAUUUUACAUUAAGAUAAAAAUCCCUCCUAGAAGUAAG